RNAcentral lists this ribosomal RNA (1320 nucleotides) under Nannopygia sp. 'Schizodiplatys' 1 IH-2020. RNAcentral's name for it is "SSU rRNA". It matches the Rfam family "Eukaryotic small subunit ribosomal RNA", at positions 64 to 1284 of the family's 1831-position model. Lineage: Eukaryota; Metazoa; Arthropoda; Insecta; Dermaptera; Diplatyidae. The record is from RNAcentral.
UGCAAGCCAAAUUAAGGUGAAACCGCAAAUGGCUCAUUAAAUCAGUUAUGGUUCAUUAGAUGAUAAACCACAUUACUUGGAUAACUGUGGUAAUUCUAGAGCUAAUACAUGCAAAUAGAGUUCCCACCUAUUCAGGUAGGAACGCUUUUAUUAGAUCAAAAUCAAUACGUUUGUUUCGGCAAACGAUUCAAUUGGUGACUCUGAAUAACUUUUUGAUGAUCGCAUGGUCUUUGUACCGGCGACAAAUCUUUCAAAUGUCUGCCUUAUCAACUGUCGAUGGUAGGCUCUGCGCCUACCAUGGUUGUAACGGGUGACGGGGAAUCAGGGUUCGAUUCCGGAGAGGGAGCCUGAGAAACGGCUACCACAUCCAAGGAAGGCAGCAGGCGCGCAAAUUACCCACUCCCGGCACGGGGAGGUAGUGACGAAAAAUAACGAUACGGGACUCAUCCGAGGCCCCGUAAUCGGAAUGAGUACACUUUAAAUACUUUAACAAGUAUCCAUUGGAGGGCAAGUCUGGUGCCAGCAGCCGCGGUAAUUCCAGCUCCAAUAGCGUAUAUUAAAGUUGUUGCGGUUGAAAAGCUCGUAGUUGAAACUGUGUCCCGCACUGUCGGUGCGCCAUUUAUGGUGUUUACUGGCAUGCUGCGGGACGUCCUGCCGGUGGGAUUGUUACUUCUGUAUGUAUAUGUGCGUUUUAAUUCUUUAAAGCGUCAUGUGCAUAUAGAUUUGUAUCAUUCUCUUGUCACCCAUUGCGGUGCUCUUUAUUGAGUGUCGUGACGGGCCGGCACGUUUACUUUGAACAAAUUAGAGUGCUAAAAGCAGGCCUCACGCCUGAAUAUUGUGUGCAUGGAAUAAUAGAAUAAGACCUCGGUUCUAUUUUAUUGGUUUUCUGAACUUGAGGUAAUGAUUAAUAGGAACGGACGGGGGCAUUCGUAUUGAGACGUUAGAGGUGAAAUUCUUGGAUCGUCUCAAGACGGACAGAAGCGAAAGCAUUUGCCAAGAACGUUUUCAUUAAUCAAGAACGAAAGUUAGAGGUUCGAAGGCGAUCAGAUACCGCCCUAGUUCUAACCAUAAACGAUGCCAGCCAGCGAUCCGCCAAAGUUCCUCCGAUGACUUGGCGGGCAGCUUCCGGGAAACCAAAGCUUUUGGGUUCCGGGGGAAGUAUGGUUGCAAAGCUGAAACUUAAAGGAAUUGACGGAAGGGCACCACCAGGAGUGGAGCCUGCGGCUUAAUUUGACUCAACACGGGAAACCUCACCAGGUCCGGACACCGGAAGGAUUGACAGAUUGAGAGCUCUUUCUUGAUUCGGUGGGUGGUGGUGCA